Molecule: RNA transcript, 3061 nt
Organism: Trichosurus vulpecula (common brushtail)
Lineage: Eukaryota; Metazoa; Chordata; Mammalia; Diprotodontia; Phalangeridae
Gene: EXOC7
Gene name: exocyst complex component 7
Exons: 18
Source: RefSeq, a predicted model, not a curated record
CGGAAGUGGGUGUGCCGGAGACGGUGGCCGAAGAGGACCGCUCCGGAAAGGGCCGAUGGAGUGAGGGGCACAGGCCGGCGGGGAUCUUGGAUCUCCGAGGCCGGUCCCGCUCGGAGCUGCAAUGAUUCCCCCACAGGAGGCGUCCGUUCGGCGGCGGGAGAUAGAGGACAAAUUGAAGCAGGAGGAGGAGACGCUCUCCUUCAUCCGAGACAGCCUGGAGAAGAGCGACCAGCUCACCAAGAACAUGGUGUCUAUCCUAUCAUCUUUUGAGAGCCGGCUUAUGAAGCUAGAGAACUCCAUCAUCCCCGUGCAUAAGCAAACAGAGAACCUACAGCGAUUACAAGAGAACGUGGAGAAGACCCUGUCCUGUCUAGACCAUGUCAUCAGCUAUUACCAUGUGGCCAGUGACACGGAGAAGAUAAUUAGGGAAGGCCCCACAGGAAGGUUGGAGGAGUACCUGGGAUGCAUGGCCAAAAUCCAGAAGGCAGUGGAGUACUUUCAGGACAACAACCCUGACAGCCCAGAGCUGAACCGCGUGAAGUUCCUUUUUGAGCGUGGAAAAGAGUCCCUAGAGUCUGAGUUCCGAAGUUUGAUGACUCGGCACAGUAAGGUCGUCUCCCCUGUGCUCAUUUUGGACCUGAUCAGUGGGGAAGAUGACAUGGAGGCUCCAGAUGACGUGCCCCUGGAUCACCUGUCUGAGAGUGUGCUCCAUGAUGUGAUUCGAAUUUCCCGCUGGCUGGUGGAAUAUGGGAGGAACCAAGAUUUCAUGAAUGUUUACUAUCAGAUCCGUUCCAGUCAGUUGGACCGUUCAAUCAAGGGCCUGAAAGAGCACUUUCGGAAAAGCAGCUCCUCUUCUGGUGUUCCCUACUCCCCUGCUAUUCCCAAUAAGAGGAAAGAUACACCCACCAAAAAACCAAUCAAACGGCCAGGGACGAUUCGUAAGGCUCAGAACCUUCUGAAACAGUAUUCUCAGCAUGGUCUAGAUGGGAAAAAGGGGGGUUCUAACCUCAUUCCUCUGGAAGGAAGGGAUGAUAUGCUGGAUAUGGAAAUUGAUGCCUACAUCCACUGUGUCAGUGCCUUUGUCAAGUUGGCACAGAGCGAGUACCAGCUGCUGACGGAUAUCAUCCCUGAGCACCAUCAAAAAAAGACCUUUGACUCCCUCAUCCAGGAUGCAUUGGAUGGACUGAUGAUGGAGGGGGAGAACAUUGUGUCAGUUGCCCGGAAGGCCAUCAUCCGACAUGACUACUCAGCUGUGCUCACAGUCUUCCCCAUCCUACGGCACCUUAAGCAAACCAAGCCUGAGUUUGAUCAAGUACUUCAGGGCACAGCUGCCAGCACCAAAAACAAGCUGCCGGGACUCAUUACCUCCAUGGAGACCACUGGUGCCAAAGCCCUGGAGGACUUUGCUGAUAACAUCAAGAAUGACCCAGACAAGGAGUACAACAUGCCCAAGGAUGGCACUGUGCAUGAGCUCACAAGCAAUGCCAUCCUCUUCCUUCAGCAGCUUCUUGAUUUCCAGGAAACAGCUGGUGCCAUGCUGGCCUCACAAGAGACAAGCUCCUCUGCCACCAGCUAUAAUUCUGAAUUCAGCAAACGACUACUAAGCACCUAUAUCUGUAAAGUUCUCGGUAACCUACAACUAAACCUACUCAGUAAGUCCAAGGUAUAUGAGGACCCAGCUCUAAGGGCCAUUUUCCUGCACAAUAACUACAACUACAUCCUCAAGUCCCUGGAGAAGUCUGAACUCAUCCACCUGGUGGCAGUGACCCAGAAGACAGCUGAGCGCUCGUACCGAGAUCACAUUGAACAGCAGAUCCAGACGUACCAACGCAGCAGCUGGCUAAAGGUAACUGACUACAUUUCUGAAAAGAACUUACCUGUAUUCCAACCAGGAGUCAAGCUCCGGGACAAGGAACGGCAGAUGAUCAAGGAGCGCUUUAAGGUGAACCAUGACCCAGCCCUCUCUUUUCUCAGCUCAUGCUGCCAUAUGAACUUGAGCUACAUGGUCACUGUCUCAUUUCUCAGCUGACUCUUCUCUCCCCAUAUUCCCUGAAGGGCUUCAAUGAUGGCCUUGAGGAGCUCUGCAAGAUCCAGAAGGCCUGGGCCAUCCCAGACACUGAGCAGAGGGACAAGAUCCGCCAGGCUCAGAAAACCAUUGUCAAGGAGAACUAUGGGGCCUUCCUUCACAGGUAUGCCAGCGUACCCUUCACCAAGAAUCCUGAGAAGUACAUCAAGUACCGCGUGGAGCAAGUGGCAGACAUGAUUGAGCGCCUGUUUGACACAUCGGCCUGAUUCUGCCAUGUCACUGUGGCAUCUCCAUGACCCCCAGUGGGCUUUAAUCCAUUUAUCAGACAGAUAAACCAGGGUUUAUACUGCUCUUUGGCUGAGUGAGUCUGAAGUCCUUUGGGGCAGGGACCUCUCUUUAGAGUUCUCAUUCUCCAUCUGUGCUUCCUCCUGACAGCCCUGCUUUAAUUGGGCCCGUGACCCCUCUCUUCCCACCUUGGUACUGUUAACUGUCUCUGGGGAAGGAGGAAAGAUGGCAGACAAAGGGCAGCAGAAUACUAGCUGCUGCUGUGGGCUUUGUGGACAUGAAGAAUGGCCCAUCUCCCACUGGCUUAGGUAGAAUCCUUGAGCUUCACAUCCUCUUCUCAGCUCUCAGACUCUUGAUGUAUUUGUGGCUAAGGGGCAGAGCCAAGGUCAUCCUGCCCAGUUGUCCUCCCCUGAGCUGAGUCAAGAGCAUUUAGUGGAAGAGAGGGCUGGGAUCCCAAGCCAAGGCCCUCCAUAGCCUUUGGAUCAGAAGGGGCUCUUGUCACCCUUUUUAUUCUCCUUAGCAAUAAGCAUUAAGAAGUGGCAGGUAUCAUCCUCACUCCCUACUUCACCAUUCUCCUAGCAUUACCUUUAGUUGCCAUAGGCACCCUGGGACAUUAGAGGAAGCUCAUCCCUUCAUUCUGUCUGUCAGUAUCACACUCCUUUCUCUCUAGCAGGAGGACAUAAAAAGAACCCUUAUUUCUCCCAGCCCUACAUUCCAUAUGGUUUUUCCCCAUGUACUUUAUGGACUGAA